RNAcentral lists this ribosomal RNA (445 nucleotides) under Blastocystis sp. Its description in RNAcentral is "bacterial SSU rRNA". It matches the Rfam family "Eukaryotic small subunit ribosomal RNA", at positions 477 to 940 of the family's 1831-position model. The record is from RNAcentral. Lineage: Eukaryota; Bigyra; Opalinata; Blastocystidae.
ACAAUGCGGACUGUUAGUCUUGCAAUUGGAUUGAGAACAACGUACAACUCUUAUCGAUAAGCCAUUGGAGGGCAAGUCUGGUGCCAGCAGCCGCGGUAAUUCCAGCUCCAAUAGCGUAUAUUAACGUUGUUGCAGUUAAAAAGCUCGUAGUUGAAGUGAGGGAGUGUGUAGUAGGACCGACUUGAUCGGAACUGCUGCAACCUCCCCCCUCCAAUCGGUGUAGUGGGGUAUUCACUUAUUCUACUACUCCUUUGGUCGUUUACUGUGAGAAAAUUAGAGUGUUCAAAGCGGGCGUUUGUUUGAAUAGAUUAGCAUGGAAUAAUGAUUGAAGGCUUUCGUGUUCGAUUUGAUUGGUUUGUUCAUGGAAGCAAGGUUAAAAGGAACAGUUGGGGGUAUUCAUAUUCACUAGUUAGAGGUGAAAUUCUCGGAUUUAUGGAAGAUGAAC